Molecule: long non-coding RNA, 3145 nt
Filed under: Capsicum annuum
Lineage: Eukaryota; Viridiplantae; Streptophyta; Magnoliopsida; Solanales; Solanaceae
Description: long non-coding RNA (CANN_LNC005421)
Source: RNAcentral
AGCCUACGUGAAAUUUUCAACCAAUCAAAACAAAACACUCAUCUUUUUGUUUUUUACACUUCAUCCUGUUAAAAAUAAAAUCCAAGUUAGUGUUUUGACACUUCAUGUCCAAAAAAAAAAAAUAAUUCACCCUCAACCAUUGUUCAUCUUGACGAAGAAAACCCAAGAAAAAAUUGAAUGAUUUCAUUAAUUUCUCUUAAAACAGGUGGUAUAUUUAUGUUAUUGACAGAAAAAACCCAAUAAUAUCCUAGUGUUUUGGCUGAUUUGAGGAAGGAAACACAACAAUAUCAUCUAAGAAUCAUGAUUUUGUGGCUCAAUCUCGUGAGGUAAAUCCAUUUUGAGUUUUUAUGACUUUUUUUUGUUCGUUUCCCAUUAAAUGUAGUGCCUACCUAGUGUAUUGUUAUGGUGAUGAUAUUUUGUAACUAUCAGAAAAAAGUUAAUUUAUUUUUUGAAAUUUUUUGUUGUUCACAACUAAGGGUGUACAUAGGUCGGGUUGAUUUGGUUUUUCAUUAAAAUAUAACCAAACUAAUAACGUCGAUUUUCUAAAUAUAUAAACUAAAUGAAACCAAUAUACAAUCGUUUUUUUUUAUUUCAAUUUUAGUUGAUUUUUUUUUAUUUUUUUGAUUUUUUUAAUAAUUAUAAUGCGGUUGAAGAAAAAAUUAAAUGUUUUCACUAAAAAGAUAAAAAAAUAAUGGUCAUAGAAUAGUUCCAAUUAAAAUUAAGUUGGUAAAUUAUUAAGACGUCUAAAUUACUAUCUCUCAAAAUAAUAUUAUGGAUACACAGUGGUUCAAUUUCUAAGUCACUAGUCAUAGUAACUUAUCUGAAAGUUUCUGUAAGACCACGCAAAGUUUCCUCGUCGUUAGAGCUUUUAAAACGAGUCACAUGGAACCUAACACUUGGAACUUUAGCUAAGUGUUCAACACUUAGUUUAUUUUGAACCUUCAAACUUCGGGGAAUUAAUUCAUGACCUUUCCGACAUCCGUUUUUCGAUUUUCAAGUUGUGUUACGAUUGAGAAAGCUCAUAGUACAUAUCGGAUGAGUUUUGGAUUUUUUCAGAACGCAUAAGGCCGCGUUUGGAUUUCAAACCAGUAGCAAAAACGCCACUUUUGACCAGUUUUCAGUAUUUCAGGGUCAACUUCCAACGAUCAUAACUUCCUGUAUUUAAUGAACUGGGUGAGCUACUAUAUAUCAAAUGAAAGCUCUUUGAGUCUUCUUUUCAAUGAAAUUGGGUUCAUCCAAUUUUUUCAUCGGAGUAAAAAGUUAUGAUCAAUUUACUUCAGCAUAUCAAACUAGUGACUGAGGCACAAAUAUGACUUUAUUUGUUUCCUUAGGGGCAUUUUGGUCAUUUAUCAUCCACCAAUCAUGCUUUAAAAUGGGAUUCAGCUUACAUUGGACCAAAAUUUGGUCAUUUAUCUAAAAAUUCUCAAGAACCAAACACAUGAGCUUUAACCAAGAAUUCAAGAUCUCUAAAAAUUCAACUGCAGGAAUUCAAAAAUAAUUUAGGAAGCAUAAUUUCCAAGUUGAGAUCUUCAAAAAGCACCUAUUAUUUUACGAGUAGAGUUCCAGAAUCGCAAGUUAAUCCAAAGUCACAAAUUUGAGGUAUGUGGGGUUUGAACAAGAAUUAUCCUUCCGGUCUUGUGCCCAAAACUUGAUUUUUAUAAAGAUUACGUAAAUUUUUAUGUUGAAGUUUAUACCAAUUUAUCUUAUUUUGAGUUUAUGAAAUUAUCCAUGAAUUGAGUAUUUGAAGGCAUUAUAUUUUAUCUUGAUAUGAUUUGAAUUGAGAUAUACAUAUUUUGAUUUAUAUUUUCCUAUUAAGAAUUGAUGUUGUUGAAUUUAUUUGAAAUGAGUAUUGAGAAUGAAUUUACAAAAUUUGUGAUAUGAAUUUUGAGUUGUUGAAAUUAUGAUAUUCCUUUAUCAAAUUAUUUACCGAGAUUUGAAUUGAAAUUUAUAUCAUGAUUUUUGAGUUGAAAAUAGGAAUCCACAAUUUAUUAUGAUUCAAUUAUGAGAAAUAUGAUUUGGCCUUCAUUAUAGGCCCUUGAGAUUAUUUUGAGGUGGAUUUCCUAAAUGAGACUGAGCUUGAGUACAGGAGUAGUAUUUAGCACCGAGCGGGAGGUGUGGGUGAGCGUACCCUACUUCCCCAAAACUACGUACCACCGUAGGAUUGAGAUUUGUGGGCCUAAGGCCGAGUUUGUGAUCACUGAGUUGAGGUUAUACUCCCUGGCAAGAGUAUGACGCUCCUUUCCAACGUAGGGUUUCUUCCUUAGGAGGACAAAACGUUGGACUCCAUGAUAAGUUCACAUGGUUUAUGUCGGUUAUAAGAAACUCCCAUAGUAUGUGUAUGUCUCUGCUCUAUCUAAGAUAAGUGUGUAUGGUUUGAAAACUAUGAUUGUGAGGAAGAAGCAAAAAUAGUAGAUACGUUAGGAGCAAGAAUAAAGUUUUUACAACAAUGGUAUAGAAACUUAUGUAAAAAAUAUAGAGAAGAAUUAAAAAUGAAAAAAACAUUAAUAAGAAAUUUAGCAUGUUGCAAAAAUAAAAUAGCACCCCAAUUUGGAUGUGAAGAAAGAUAUUAUAGGUUUUUUCUAUCCAUAUUAAUUUUUCUUUUAGAUUCUCCAUUAUUUUCAAUUCGGUGGUGUAAUGGAGAAGAUAACAUUAUUCCAGAAGUACAUCUAGAAUAAAAGAAGACAAAAUGCCAACUGAAAAGAUAAGAUAAGAAGCAAUAAUGGAGAUAUAGCAGAUACGAAAAAAUCAACGGAGACAAGAUAUUGUUGAAUUAUUGUACAAAGUCUUAUUAUUGUUGAAUUAUUGUACAAAGUCUUUAGACUUUACGUAAAAGAUGUAAUAAUUGUAGAUUUAUAGGUUUGUAGGAAAUUAAAGGCUAGUUAGUAGCCUAGCCUCCUUUUUUGACUUUCUUGUUAGCUUUUAGCAUUUUAAAACGUGUAAAGAUUGAUUGUAGAUUUUGUUCUAUAAAUAAAGGAAGCCGAAGGAAUACCUAAUAAAUCUAUUUCAUACGUCAGAUAUCCGCGCCCCCCUACAAUUGGUAUCAGAGCCCAGUAAUUCAAAAAAUACGGAAGUGAGAUAUAUGUUAGAGUUAUUAGAAUUUACCUAUAAAUUAUUAAAUUAAUUAUGCGAAGACCAUUUAANNNNN